UCAAAAUUUCUCGGCUUAUGAAUUUCUUAAACUUGGCCCCUGCCAGAAUCAUUCUCGCGGGUACCUUCGUCAAGGUAUCCCACUGAGACCGCCAAGGCUGUUCAAUGACCCAUACCCAUAAACAUGCUUUCACAUCUGACACACAACCGUUCUUUUGCGUUGGUUGAGUCUCACUCUCACGUGGUGGCCCGAACGUGAGGUGCAUUCAAAUCAUACCUCAAGAGAUACUUCACCCAACAUCUCCCCCCGGAGGUAAGUAUAUAAUUGAGUUAUCGUGCCCCUCUCAUAGGCAGUCCACGGAAACCCCCACCACUGCAGUGACCGUGAGGUGCAUUCAAAUCUUACCUCAAGAGAUACUUCAUCCAACAUCUCCCCCCGGAGGUAA
Molecule: long non-coding RNA, 385 nt
Filed under: Theobroma cacao (cacao)
Lineage: Eukaryota; Viridiplantae; Streptophyta; Magnoliopsida; Malvales; Malvaceae
Description: long non-coding RNA (TCAC_LNC006291)
Source: RNAcentral